AAAUAAAGCAGUGGCACAGGAGGGUGGAUCAUUUCAACAGAAAUAGAGAAACCUGAACCCAAGGUGGCCCUGCCUUCUUCCUCAGAAGAGUCCACCAAGGAGAGUCCCCUGCCACUAUCUGCCUUUGCAGCGGCCAGCCCAUAAGCAGCUUGAAGUGGGUGGUGUGUGACUGCUUCAGGCUUGAGACAUGAAGACAGAAUUCUUCCGUGAUAUAUCAACCCGCCUGUGGAACUUGAAAGCUGGUUUCAAAUGACUCAACUGGUAGAGUGUUGGGCAGAGUAUGCCUGAGGUCCCUGCCUUCUUUACUCCCUCUGUUUGUCUCACGUGAAGUUCUCGCUCAUAUGUCAUCAAUAAAAUAAAUCUUUUUAAAAAUCA
This is a long non-coding RNA of Erinaceus europaeus (western European hedgehog), 375 nucleotides long. RefSeq lists it as uncharacterized. The transcript is spliced from 2 exons. Lineage: Eukaryota; Metazoa; Chordata; Mammalia; Eulipotyphla; Erinaceidae. The record is from RefSeq and is a predicted model, not a curated record.